CCUACAAACACCCCCCACAUACCCACACACACACCCCACACCCCUCCACACAAUCACACCCACCUCCACACACCCACAUAAACACACACACACCUGCUUGUUCCAUCCAGAAACUCCUCCCAUGAGCCAUGCUGAGCAAGAGGUGGUCCUGACCCGAUGCUGACUGAUCAUGAACCACAGCCCAAGAUGAAGCACUCUGACGUCUCCCUAAUUGGGCGUGCACUCCACUCCCCUGGGGCCGGGUCCUGCUCUGGACACGGGAUGACCUCAACAGCUGAGCUGUUGAGGGCUCACCUGAGAGUAAAGUUAAUAAAGAGACCAGGGCUGUUUGAAUUGGAAUCUGUCACCAAUACCAGAAGAGCCCUCAGAGAGCCUUGAAUGUCACACCGAGGAACAUGGACUAACCUGAGACAAGUGUCUUUGAAGGAUUUUGGGCCAAGGAGUUACAAGACCCCCAAGCAAUCGGUGCAGUGUAACUCACAGAAAUGGAAAACGAGCUCCUGUUCACACUAGAGGGCAGAGGCCCAGAGACAUCAAGUGACUUUCCUGAGGCCACACAGUGGUCAGAGAUGAGACCAAGCACCUUUUUUUUUCUACUCCGAGUGGAGGCUGUCAGAGGGGCUGGAGCCGCAGUCUGCGUGAGUUGUUGCUUCUUGCAAAGAACCAUGGGAAGAGGGCCUGCUGGGAAGCCCCAGAAGUGUGGAUUGAGAGCAGAGGUCACAGGAGGAGAGACAUUGGCCCAGUCUUGUAUCCUUUCACAAGGAGACCGAAGGGCCAUGGCUGCCUGUAUCACAAGGACCAGGAGGCCCUGAACUUGCCAGCGUGACUCUCCUGUCCUUCCCGCCUUCCCCGACUCCCACCUCUGGCCUGGAGCCGAGGAACAGGCUGAGCUGUGUAGUGGGAUUGUACCCUGUGGCCAGGCAGCUGGGAGGGGGCCACCCGAGGGACAGGAAAUAGCUGGGUUUGGGGAAGUCCGCAUGGCCAGCCAAGCCAAGCGAGCCCACAAUCGCCCGGGCAGCCCUCACCCAGGCCCUAUCAAUGCCCCGUUUGAGGCUCACACAGGGGUCCUUUGACAGGACUGUGAUGGUUUGGACCCACUGACAGCGCCUGUUUGAGCUUCAUGCCUGGAAAGGAGCCGGCCCCAGGAUAGAGGGAGCUGCUCCCAGUCCUGGGCAGGUGAGGGCAGCCUGGAGUGGCUGUCUCUGGAGGGAAAAAAGAGUUGGUAAAAUUAAACCUGGGGUGCUAAGCGGGGCAACCUUAGGUUUCUCAGGGGCUGUGACGGUAGCAGGGAGGGUCCCCAUAAUUGAGCGGGCCCUUCAGUGUGCUGGCUCCAUGAAGCUCCCAGUGGCCUCACGCAGCAGGUGCUGGGUGGUGAUCAUUCCUGAGGUUCAGGGAGGGGCUGCCUCUGCCCACAAUCAUGCAUCGGCCAAGGGGCAGAGCUGGUUGUACUUCAGUCCACCCAAAUGGACCUGAGCUUGUCUCUCUAGACCUUUCUGGGUAACCUCACCCUUCCUCUGGGAACUUCCACCUCACAAGGCCCUCAUUUAAUUCCUAUUCCAGGCUCUGGACCCUCUUGGGAGGGCCCUGGCAUAAGAGGGAGGCCUUGGAGGCAGCAGGGAGCUUUUGGAUGUCGCAGGCCCCUGGAGAGUGAUGCCCAGCUCUGAGCAGAGGACACAGAGUAGGGGAUGGCAAAGGACGCAUCGAGUUUCGGUGGUGCUGGAUUUGCACUACCUUGGGGGACAUACACUGGGAGAUGCUCAGGAGGCAGCUGGGUCUCUAGGUCUGGAGUUCAGGAGAGCGAGGAAGGAGGCAGGCUGAGAUGUGAGCACUACUUGUGGAUGUGUGGGUGGGAUGUCAGGUUGGGUGGGUGUCACCCAAGUUCACAGAGGUGUUAACCCAUCAGCAGGACGUGCUGCUGCACCGUAGCCUCCUCAGACAGGCCUGCGGAUGAAAGUACGUGCCUCCUCACCCUGGAUUCCAGUUUGGCUGACCAGGCGUGGGGCCCGAGACCAAGGGAGCACAUGGGAGGUGUCAUGAACCACAUGUGACACCUCAGAUUAUGGGGGCUGUGGUCCGAAUGGGGCCCGGGCAGGAGGAGCAGCCCAGCUGCACUGCAGGCUCCUGGAUGCCGGGAUGAGCGUGGCCACCUUGCAGAUGAGGAACCUGCCCUGUGACUGUGGGUCCCGCCACGUCUCUGCCUGACUUUUGGGAAGACCAGAGAUUCGUGCCCAAUCUGGUACUCUGGCAGUGAAUUUGCAAUGAAAUUGUUUAAGUGUCAAGGAAAGCAGUUGCAGGUUAAAGGAAGUCAGGGGCAGGACCCAUCCUUGGGUUCUCCUUGGGUCUUUGGGUGGCAGCAGGGCCUCUGCGGAGGGUGUAAGCAGCAGCCACUGUGUGUCUCUGCAGCCACAGGCCUUGCCCAUUGCCCUCCCGGAUGGGCUCUCUGGGAACCAGUGCUCACAUUCCAGUCUGUCUCCUGGGUCUCCAGGAGGAAGCCUCCCUAAUUAGCCACCAAGAGCGCUCCGAUGGUCAGUGGGCACAGCAGAGAGCUGCUGGCACGAGGGAGCCGCAGUUCUAAAUAAACAAACAACAUCCACCUGAGAAACAAUUUUGCUGCCAUCUCAGUGGCCCAGAUGGUCAAACAGGACACUCGCCUGCUGCUUCCUCUGCUCUACCUGCUGGGGGGACAUGCCAGGCUGGAAAACAGCUGGGCCAAGGCCUGGAGAUGUGACCAGGUAUCCUGAGAAAAGGACUUGGGUGCAGGUAGCUUAUUUGGGAGGUGAUCCUAGGAAAUGCAGCGAGGGGAAGUGAGGUGGGGACAGGAUGAAAGCCAAUACAAUGUGCAUGAAUAAGCUGGACACCUCUGUGGGCCACUGGGGCUCACUCCUGCUGGGGACCUUCUGCGGAACGGUGAGGAGCGUGUCUCAGAACUGUCCAGUGGGGAAUGGGGACGCUGGGGUCUUCUGAUCCCCAUAGGUUGUGGGUUACCCCUGCGGAUGUUAAAUCCCAGGCUGCCUGGCCCACUGCCCGCGUCCCUGGGAACUGCCUGCUGCAGCUGUAGGUGAGCUGGACCCACAGUGGGCUGAAGGGCCAUGGGUCGCGGCAUUGACUGGGCCAGCUAGAGUUCCCAGUGCUAAACCUGAGCCCGCUCCUCCAGAUGCUCAUCUCUUCUUCCAUUGUGAUUGACUGCAGGGGCCAUUCGCCGUGGGAAGCUCUCACAGCCGCUCCUGGGGUGAAGGCUGACCCUCUGGCCCCGAGAAGGCAGGUAGCGGGGAGGACCUUGUAGUUUUAACAACAGCAUUAAGAUUCCAAUGCUACAGACAUGAAACAGGAAGAAAAUAGAGGGAUUUACUGGAAAUCACCACAGCUGGCCUGUGACAGAGGGGGACUCAAGCCCAGCUCUCUUUGAUUCUGAAGCCGUUUCACUUCACAGCAUUCCUCAAAGUCUGUCGUGCAUGCUACCAGCAGAAAACAAGAAAAUCUUCAGUGAUAUGUGGAUGAAAAAGCUAAAUUUAAUUAGUUUUGAAUUUAUUUAUAUUUUAUAUUGAAUGAAUGCUUAUUGGAAUAAAUAAAUAAACCGUACACCAAACCAGUGAUUUCAUGGCUAUUAUUUCCUAGAAGGCAGAGAAAUUUUUAAGAAGUGAGUUGGUUUAGAAUGAAUUAUACAAAAAGAUUAAAUAAAUACUGGUAAAGGCGUAUGUGGAUACUGCCAAACAAUGACGGUGAGCAAAGAGUGAAGGGGGCAGCCUGCCCCAGCUGAGGUUGCAUCUGGUUAGCUAGGUUAUUGCAAGUUAACCCAGGUUUGCUCUUUA
Piliocolobus tephrosceles (Ugandan red Colobus) is the source of this 3809-nucleotide long non-coding RNA. RefSeq lists it as uncharacterized. The record is from RefSeq and is a predicted model, not a curated record. The transcript has 4 exons. Lineage: Eukaryota; Metazoa; Chordata; Mammalia; Primates; Cercopithecidae.